GACGAACGCUGGCGGCGUGCUUAACACAUGCAAGUCGAACGAAAAGAGGGAAAGAGCUUGCUCUUUCCGGAAUUGAGUGGCAAACGGGUGAGUAACACGUAAACAACCUGCCUUCAGGAUGGGGACAACAGACGGAAACGACUGCUAAUACCGAAUAAGUUCCAAGGGCCGCAUGGCCCAUGGAAGAAAAGGUGGCCUCUACCUGUAAGCUAUCGCCUGAAGAGGGGUUUGCGUCUGAUUAGCUGGUUGGAGGGGUAACGGCCCACCAAGGCGACGAUCAGUAGCCGGUCUGAGAGGAUGAACGGCCACACUGGAAUUGAGACACGGUCCAGACUCCUACGGGAGGCAGCAGUGGGGAAUCUUCCGCAAUGGGCGAAGGCCUGACGGAGCAACGCCGCGUGAGUGAUGACGGCCUUCGGGUUGUAAAACUCUGUGAUCCGGGACGAAAAGGCAGAGUGCGAAGAACAAACUGCAUUGACGGUACCGGAAAAGCAAGCCACGGCUAACUACGUG
Molecule: ribosomal RNA, 513 nt
Filed under: uncultured bacterium
Lineage: Bacteria
Description: partial 16S ribosomal RNA
Rfam family: Bacterial small subunit ribosomal RNA
Source: RNAcentral